CCUCAUGUUAGCUUUUGUGCAGUGACUUACAGCAACAUAGCACACAAACAAUAAUAAUAAUAGAAGAAGCAGGAGAGAGAAUACCACGUGCAAGACUUUUUACCAGACCAUGCUCCAAUCCAUAUAGCUCUAUUAUCAGGACAAGGCGGCCUUCGUAUGAUUCACAAAACAUAGUGUCUCUUGUCACUGUACCUGAAAAAGUCUCCUGGCAGUGAGUGUUUCAGCUAAAACAUAUUCUAUUAGACACCUACAAAAGAAACCCAAAAAAAGAUGACCCCAUUCAUGGUAAAAUGUGGAGGAAAAGUAAUGGUAGAUCAUCUCACCACUGUUUGGUGUUUUUUUUUUGGAUGUAAAAGCAUUUCUAUACUUUAGUCCUCAUGCUGUUAUCACAAGAAAGCUAUAGUUUUCUGAAUCAGUUAACAUACUUUUAAGCAAAUCAAAACUGAUUCACUAACAUAGUGGUGGUAACUCUCAUGGUUGAACACAGGAAACUAAGAUUUGAAAGAGUGACAAAAGACCUGAAGGUCACAAGAGUCAUAUCGACAUUGGUGGAGGAGAUGAAGGCCAUUCGCAUUGGAACCCAUGAUGAAUCCCACUGCACUGAUGUGAUGGUUCCGGCAGCCGUUGCUGAUCGGAGCCCUGUUCUUCUUCUGAUGGGUGGUGGGAUGGGAGCUGGCAAGAGCACUGUGCUCAAGGAAAUACUGAAGGAGUAAGUUCUUUAAUUCUUUUAACAUCACACUAAAUUAAAACAGACCCAAAAUGUAAUAAGGGAAUGAUAAAGAACAGAGAUUAAAAAGUACAAAAACCAUCACCAAGUAAACCAACUUUAAAGAAGCUUUCAUUUGAUGUUCAGAUUAUAUACAGUAUGCCUGGCACAAAGUAGCAGUCAUACCAUGUGCAUCUUAAAACCAGGGGUACAUAUAUAAAGUAGUAAUAAUUACUAGUUUCUUGUCAUUGAAGCAGUUCAUCCUAGCAUAUUCAUUCUAACAGUAUAAUGAACUAAAACUUGGCGAAAUACCAACUCCAUGACUGUAAUUUCAAUAAAGUGGUAUUAAAAAAUAAAUGAAAAAAGACAUCGGUUAGUUAGAGACCAGAAGCAAAAUGACACUUGGUGGAAAAAAAAAAGGUAAAAUAAAUUAUAAAUUAAAAAAAAUAAAUCACUGCCUGGACAGGCAUCUCCAUUGUUGGGUAGCACUAUUAGACAUAUACCAGUAUAUCAGAAUAGUUGAUUAUUAAGGUAUGGUCUGAGUAGAAGAGUUAAAAACAGCUAAGAUGACAGGUGGGAUGCCCAAAUGUCCCAUGUCCUCCACUCAAACAACCAAGAUCAAAAGGACAGUAAUGGUUCUAGGUCACAUUCAAACUAAACAAGUUAAAAAACUUCAGAUCAACAAUGUAUCUAGUUAGAUAUAUCUGAUCCUGAUAUGACUGGAAAAUACCAUAUUUGUAUCUGCUUUUCAUCAGUUAGAUAUGCAUAGUCUUUUAUCAUGAUACGUUGUUACCCACAUAUCAGAGCCUUCUGGUCUGGCGCUGCAGCAAACACAGUGGUGGUUGAAGCUGAUGCGUUCAAAGAGACGGAUGUCAUUUAUCGAGCUAUCAGCUCCAGAGGUCAUCAUGAUGACAUGCUCCAGACUGCUGAACUGGUAUUCCUCUCUCUACUGUUCUUUGUUUAGAGAUUUUAUUCCUUAACUCUUCUGCUUUCAGUUGUUCUUCUAGAGGAAAACAUAUAUUAAAUAUACAUUAAGAUAGUUAAAGCAUCAAAAUCCCAUUUGCUUUGCUUUGAAACAUUAGAAACUGUUCCUGAAAAAGAUUAUGACAUCAGCAUCAAGAAAAAAAAAACUACAAUUGAUGUAAUAAUAUUUUUCUUAUCUACUCUAUGUCUCGGCCUGUCUGUCUGUAAUCAAUUUAUUUGGUCCCCAUAGAAAAUUCCUAUUUUAUUAGUCUAUUCUUUCGUUAUUUCUCUGUGCCCUCAUUUUCUUGAAUUCAAACCUACAGGAAAAUUUUAUGAUUGCUCUUUGUUUGCUUGAACUGCUCUAACAAGAUACUUAUUAUUGCCAGCAAACUAGAUUCCACAAUGAUUUUUUUACUUAUAUUUGCCUUAAUUAAAAAGUUGACUCAAACUUGAGAGGAUUGACUCCCAAUUAUGAAAUUAUUAGAAAAAAAUAGAUUUACUCUAGUGUCAUUUCAAAGUUGAGUGAUGCUACAUAACUAAUAUCAUAACUCUUAGAUAACAAUGAUGAUUAACAGAAUAAUGAACACUUUUGCAGAAAUAUAAACAAACAUGAUUUUUUUUUCUAACUAGUCCAGGAGCUAAAGACAAACCUUCCGCUUGGAGCUUAUACACCACAUAUCACAUACUCCAUGACUAUCAAAUCUUCCGAAAUAGGGAGGACAGACUUCUGAUUCAGCCUAGAUGUGUAAUUUCCUUCGAGUAUGGAUCUGAUUCUGAGUUCAUUCAAUCUUAGACUAGAUUCAGUUCCAUUAAUCUAUGCCUACAAUCUAGUUAAACAUGGGUUCUCUGAAAUCCAUAUCAGAUCAGAUAUCAUCAACAGAGUUUAGAGAAUAUAGAUCAAUAUCUCCAACAUCAAUCAGUAAAUAAUCUGAUGUCAUCCUUGUCCUCCUCAUGGUCUAAGCUUCCAGAAUAAACUGAGCUCACACAACAAUUACAAGCAGGUCCAUCAGUCAUCGACAGACGCAGCUUCCUCUCUACUCGUGACGGCGCUGAAUGAAGGUCGAGAUGUGAUCAUGGAUGGCACUCUCUCCUGGGAACCAUUUGUUCAGCAAACCAUAGCCAUGGCACGGAAUGUACAUCACCAGCAGUAUCGGAUGGGAGCUGGAUACAAGGUUGCUGAUGAUGGGACCAUCACAGAGAACUACUGGGAACCGGUGGAGGACAACCAAGAGAACAAUAAGUGCAGUACAAGGAAGCCUUACAGGAUAGAGAUGGUUGGAGUUGUUUGUGAUGCCUACCUAGCAGUAGUCCGAGGAAUCAGGUACGACUCUAAAAAAACCCUACUCUUGAAUCAAACCCAAACGUAACAAUUUAUGCCUUGGGAGGUUCAUGCACCUAAAUUGAAUAUAUAUAUAUAUAUAUAUAUAUAUAUAUAUAUAUAUAUAUAUAUAGGAUUUCUUGGGUCAUAAAUACUGGAUAACUAACAGAGAUGAAUAGAGACAAUCAAUGUGGACAGGAGAAGUACAUUGGCUAGUUGUUCUAACCUGAAAUUUUCGACCAUAAGGUCAGUGAGCUGAAAGUUUCCAAGCUCAACUCUAUGAUGUCAAUGACAGGAGAGCUAUAAUAAUGGGUAGAGCAGUUAGAGUAAAAUCCCAAUUGAAGUCUCACCAAAGGUUUGCUAAUGCCUUUCCAAGAUAUUGUCAACUUGUUGACAAUGCCAGGCUCUACUCAACCAACUCCAUGGGAUCUGCUAAGGUUUCUUCCUCUCUCCAUUUUUUUCACUUAAAAAAAGAGCAACAUUCAGCCACCAUGAUAUCUUGAUACAGGGUAAUAUAGUAUUGGCUUUCAUGCUGUCUGCAGCUGAUAGGUUGGAAGGAUGGAAGCAGCAACCUAUUGGUAGACCCACAGGAGAUCAUCUGUCUGGAGAAGCUGAGCAAAGUAAAUGAGGAUGCUAAUUCAAUCUAUCAACUCUACCCACAGGAAGAUACUAGCUCCGGGUCUGGUUUCAUUUGGGAUGAUAUGGUGAUGUCACCAACAAGAGAAUCAAUCCAGCAAGAUCUUAAGGAAGCUAUUAAAAGGAUCGAAAGUCCUGCAUCAUGAUGAAAACUGCCAGAAGUCACCACCUCCCCUGUCAACGUCGGAUAUAGAUCAUCAAUAUGAUUGAAGCAAGCUAUAAAAAUCAUACAGAUCAGUGUCAAAUCUCUAAUUAUCAGCCAGAGUUCUAUUGUGCAGAUCCUUUACCACAACAACCAAAUAACAGUAGUAAUGAACUGUCUCUAUCAAGGAAUAGUAGCUCAUCACAUUUUGGCUUCUAAAUCUUUUUUUCACAUUCUGAUUCUCAUAGCAAAUAAGGGAAAUCCUAGUGACAUCUGACAUCAAACCAUGAAAGUUCUAAUUUAAAAACAUAAAUCCAAAUCCUAAGGACACCUACCAGGUAUGUUUUAGUCUGUCAAAAAUUCUAAAACUGAAGAGUCUAAAGUCAGACUCAUAAUAUGCAAAUAAUAGAACAAUGACAUUAUAAUUCUUCGCCCACCAGGGCAUGUCAAACUACUUAAAUAGAAUCCUAAAGUUCAAAACAGCAGCUAACCCUCAUGUAAUAAUGAAAAUGAACUGAAUAAUGUUGCAAUAUGAGUUCAACAAUUGGUAUCAAUGAAAUCAAUUUUUCACAAAACUUGCAUUUUAAAAGUCAAAAGAAAAAUGUAGCUUUCAACCAUUUCAAGUAAAUAUUCAAUCUUUUUAAAAUGUCAUAUGUGCCUGAAAUAUGAAAAUAGAUGGGGAUGUUAGCAUUCAUAUCUAAUAAUUUGCAUGAGAGCCUUUACCAAAUUAAAUACUCAAGAUGAAUGCCAAACAAGAAUAAUUGUCUCCAAACAAAGGCAGAAAUGCCUAAAAGUUCAAUUUCCAAGCAUAGUUUUCAAAAUACAAUAUCCAAAAUAAACUUCCUCGCACCAUAGUAUAAUCAAUAAAUUAAAUCACCCUGACCUGUAUAAACAAUAAGUGCAACAACUGACAACAGACUAGAGGACCCAGGAAACUUGCUGCUACAUAAUUAGCAAAAAAAAGACAAUAAAUUCAAAAAUCAAAUAUGCUAAAUGCUUGCCAUGUGCAUUCCUUGAUACAGAUGGGGACUGAUUCUAGAAUUAGCCAAUGAAUGAUCCUGUAUUUUAAUGUA
This 4838-nucleotide long non-coding RNA is filed under the name Musa acuminata (dwarf banana). Its description in RNAcentral is "long non-coding RNA (MACU_LNC002358)". The record is from RNAcentral. Lineage: Eukaryota; Viridiplantae; Streptophyta; Magnoliopsida; Zingiberales; Musaceae.